RNAcentral lists this transfer RNA (64 nucleotides) under Delias pasithoe. Its description in RNAcentral is "tRNA-Thr". It matches the Rfam family "tRNA". Rfam says of the family: Transfer RNA (tRNA) molecules are approximately 80 nucleotides in length. Their secondary structure includes four short double-helical elements and three loops (D, anti-codon, and T loops). Lineage: Eukaryota; Metazoa; Arthropoda; Insecta; Lepidoptera; Pieridae. RNAcentral also lists the same sequence under 1 other name. The record is from RNAcentral.
GUUUUUAUAGUUUAAGCAAAACAUUGGUCUUGUAAAUCAAAAACAAUAUAAUUAUUUAAAAACU